RNAcentral lists this ribosomal RNA (468 nucleotides) under uncultured bacterium. Its description in RNAcentral is "partial 16S ribosomal RNA". The stretch from base 58 to 468 matches the Rfam family "Bacterial small subunit ribosomal RNA", at positions 39 to 507 of the family's 1533-position model. The record is from RNAcentral.
GGGGGGGGGGGGGGGCGGGGGGGGGGGGGGCGGGGCGGGCGGGAGGGCGCUGGGGUUGUGGGGUGCUCGAGUGGCGGACGGGUGAGUAACACGUGAGUAACCUGCCCUGGACGUUGGGAUAACUUCAGGAAGCUGGGGCUAAUACCGGAUAGGAGCUCCUGCUGCAUGGUGGGGGUUGGAACGUUUCGGCGGUUGGGGAUGGACUCGCGGCUUAUCAGCUUGUUGGUGGGGUAGUGGCUUACCCAGGCUUUGCCGGGUAGCCGGCCUGGGAGGGUGACCGGCCACAUUGGGACUGGGAUACGGCCCAGACUCCUACGGGAGGCAGCAGUGGGGAAUAUUGCACAAUGGGCGGAAGCCUGAUGCAGCAACGCCGCGUGCGGGAUGACGGCCUUCGGGUUGUAAACCGCUUUCGCCUGUGACGAAGCGUGAGUGACGGUAAUGGGUAAAGAAGCACCGGCUAACUACGUG